UAUUAAUUGCAAAUUAUAAUACUGGGUACAAGUAUUGGAAUUGAAAAUUAUUGAAACUGUAAAUUAAGUACAAUCAUUUCUGAAUACCAGUAAAUGUAAAUAAAACUCAGUACUUUUUUAGCCUAUUCGACACUUAAUACUAAGCACUUUGAAUCGAUCCUGA
Long non-coding RNA from Rhagoletis zephyria (snowberry fruit fly), 163 nucleotides. RefSeq lists it as uncharacterized. The record is from RefSeq and is a predicted model, not a curated record. Lineage: Eukaryota; Metazoa; Arthropoda; Insecta; Diptera; Tephritidae.